AUGACAGUUGAAAAAGGGGUAGGAACCACGCCACGGUUCCUGCGUGGAAACACAAGGCCUUCCUUUGUCUGCAAACAAAGCGCCACGGGCCAUGCUCCCAGUUGUUUUUUGUUUGGGUUUGUGUGUGGGGGUUUUUUUGUUUUGUUUUGUUUUUUCCACCCUUCCGGAAACACGGGCGAUGCGUUACCUCGAAUUCCAAGGGCCGGGGACAAGAGAAGGGAACCGCAGGACCGGCCUGAGGGGCAGCGGGGGUCGGUGUCGCCCGGGCACCGAGACCCCGGCGGGGAAGGGGAGGUCGGACCCGCUCGGCGCCGGAGCCUCGGCAGGUGCGCGCCGCCCUCAGCCCCGGGGGUGCGAGCGUGUCUGUCUGUGUGGGGUGGUUUUACCGUGAGCGCCCCACGACGGGCCCCGCGGCCGCAAGAGCGAUGGAAGCGCCAUCGCCGCCCUCCUCUCCUCACCUCAGGCGCCGAGCGAACCCGCCUCCCCCCUCUCCCGCCUGACCCGCGGCGCCGACUACCGCCGAAAUCGCGGCCCUCACCCACCGCCCGCUCCCCGGCGCCAUUUACCGCGCCUCCCCGGGGCCGCCCCCCUCCCGCCUCCCCCGCUCCCGCCCAGCUCUCCCCGCCUCGCCCCGCCACCACCUCUCCGCCUCGGAGGAGCUGCCUCCCGGCCUCCACCCGCGCAACCUCGGCCACCCCCCCGCCACCCCCCCUCCCCUCCGCCGGGAGUCCCCUCGCCGCUCUCCUGGGGCCGUCGCCGCCCUCGGCUCCACCACUCAAAAUGGCGGCCGCGCUCGGGAACGAGGCUCCGCCGAGAAGCGCCGCGCCGCCCCCUCCCCCACGCCCUCCUCAGGGAGCGCCGCUACCCGCGGCUCCCCGCAGGCGCGCACCGGCCCCGGCACCGCGACGACGGCCGCAGAGGCCCGCCCGCCUCGGGGCCUCUCCGAGCCUCCGCUGCUACCGCCAGCCUGCCCGCAGGCGCCCCGGGCGGGCCCAGCUGGGGCUCGCUCAGCCCCCCGCUCUCUCCGCCGCCGCCACUCCACUCCGCUCCACUCACCGGGAGACCCUCGGACACCCCUCGACGUGCCCCGGCAGGAGCUUCUGCCGGGAAGGAAGCUCCUCCUCACUUCUAACCGGCCGGCGGGCUCGAAACCUACGCAACGAAGAUGGGCAGGAUGGCGUCCCGGCUGCGCAAGUAUCGCGAUAG
This 1206-nucleotide long non-coding RNA is filed under the name Accipiter nisus (Eurasian sparrowhawk). RNAcentral's name for it is "lncRNA (ENSANIG00000011195.1)". Lineage: Eukaryota; Metazoa; Chordata; Aves; Accipitriformes; Accipitridae. The record is from RNAcentral.